Molecule: long non-coding RNA, 374 nt
Filed under: Salvia miltiorrhiza (redroot sage)
Lineage: Eukaryota; Viridiplantae; Streptophyta; Magnoliopsida; Lamiales; Lamiaceae
Description: long non-coding RNA (SMIL_LNC003851)
Source: RNAcentral
UUGGGGGAAAUGCACAUGAAGUGUUUGUGAAAUUGCUUGAGGGGAAAUUUAGGUUUUUUUUUUUGUUUUAUUUGUUAUUUUCCUAGUUCUGUAUGUGAGUUGCUAGCUUUGUUUGUGAACUAUAUGUGGGGAAAUUAUAAUGUUUUGUUAGAUUAUAGAGAGUAAUUGUGAUUAACUUGAAAUGAUUUUGGAGAUUUAUAGUCUUUAGGCGCGUGGUUUGUGGGAGAUCAGCAAAUGUGAAAGUAGAGCUUUGAUAACUCCUUAGGUGCGUGUCCAACUUAUUAAUUUUGGGAAAUCUAGUGAUACUAAUAGAAGGUGGGUCGAGGAUGCUUUCGUAAUUCAAAUCAGCAUCAGCUACUAGUCAAACUCCAACU